RNA transcript from Myotis myotis, 1530 nucleotides. It is a transcript of the gene named bone marrow stromal cell antigen 1, with no coding region annotated. The transcript has 10 exons. The record is from RefSeq and is a predicted model, not a curated record. NCBI's taxonomy places the organism in Eukaryota, Metazoa, Chordata, Mammalia, Chiroptera, Vespertilionidae.
AAGCCAGUCCAGCAGGCUCUCCAAAGUCCCCGCGAUGGCUGCCCAGGGCUGCGCACUGUCCUGGAUGUCGCUCAGGCUCCCGGCGCUGCUGCUGCUGCUUCUGCUGCUGCUGGCGCCCGGCUUUGCGGGAGCCUCAGGCGCGCGGUGGAGCGGGGAGGGUACCACCCCGCACCUGCAAAGCAUCUUCCUGGGCCGCUGCACCGAGUACCUCGCGCUGCUGAACCCCCAGCUGCGGGACAAGAACUGCACAGACAUCUGGGAGGCCUUUCAAGCGGUGCUGGCCAAGGACCCCUGCUCCGUGCUGCCCUCCGACUACGACCUUUUCAUAAACCUCUCCAGGCACUCCAUUCCCAGAGACAAGUCCCUGUUCUGGGAAAAUAACCAGCUCCUUGUAGCCAGCUACUCGGAGAAGACCCGUCGCUUCAUGCCUUUGGGCGAUGUUCUGUACGGCAGGAUUGUGGAUUUUCUGAUCUGGUGUCGGCAGGAAAAUGCCUCUGGACUCGAUUACCAAUCAUGCCCUGACUCAGAGGGUUGUGAAGACAAUGCUGUGGAUUCUUUCUGGAAAAGGGCAUCCAUGCAGUAUGCACAGGACAGUUCUGGGGUGAUCCACGUCAUGCUGAAUGGUUCAGAGCCAACAGGAGCCUAUCCCGUAGAAGGGUUUUUUGCAGAUUUUGAAAUUCCCUACCUCCAGAAGGAUAAAAUCACACGAAUUGAGAUCUGGGUUAUGCAUGAAAUCGGGGGACCCAACCUGGAAUCCUGUGGAGAAGGCAGUGUGAAAAUCCUGGAAGACAGACUGAAGGGGAUGGGUUUUCAGUACAGCUGUACUAAUAAUCACCUGCCAGUGAAGCUCUUAAUGUGUGUGGACCACAGCACGCAUCCUGACUGUGCCUUAACUUCAUAAUAGUGUAUCUGGUGCUGCUUUCAUGUCUAUGGAUGAACCUGCCCCACCCUUUUGAACAGCUCAGUGCCUGAUUAAGCUUUGAUUGCGGAAACAUCCACUUCCACAAUGGCUGUUUCCAGUGAACAAGCCACCAGCCACAGGACUGAAGAGCCAGCGCCCAGCCCCCUUUGAGUUUCCUGAGUUUUAGAGAUCUUGGCUGAUUCAAUAACUGCUCAUUCAGGCCGCUGUUUUCCCUACUUGCUCUCGCUUUAAAUCCCCUCUCUUAAGUUUUAAAUUCACCAGUAAAGACCGAGUCCCCAAAACCCUAGGCCUUCACCCAUGACCCGAGUAAAACAGAACCCCAGACCUGUGUGUGUUCUUACUCUACCCACAACUUCACUGUGUGUCCCAGGUACGCUGGGUAAUUUCCAGGUCCUGUAAGUAAUAAGCUUUCCCCCCUCAAAGUUCUGUGAUGGUUAUUGCUUAAGGGCAUUUUGCAACCAUGAGCAGAACCACAAGGGUUGGCACAGCCACAGUGCUGGAUAUUGGGAAGCUGAGGCUGGCACAAAACAUGGGGAUUAUCUAUGUCUGAAUCUGUACCUGUACCUAAUUCUAGGUAGACUUACAGGUAAAACAGUGCUUUAUUGUCA